AACGAACGCUGGCGGCGGGCUUAACACAUGCAAGUCGAACGGAAAGGCCCUGCUUUUGUGGGGUGCUCGAGUGGCGAACGGGUGAGUAACACGUGAGUAACCUGCCCUUGACUUUGGGAUAACUUCAGGAAACUGGGGCUAAUACCGGAUAGGAGCUCCUGCUGCAUGGUGGGGGUUGGAAAGUUUCGGCGGUUGGGGAUGGAAUCGCGGCUUAUCAGCUUGUUGGUGGGGUAGUGGCUUACCAAGGCUUUGACGGGUAGCCGGCCUGCGAGGGUGACCGGACACAUUGGGACUGAGAUACGGCCCAGACUCGUAUGGGACGGAGCAGUGGGGAAUAUUGCACAAUGGGCGGAAGCCUGAUGUAGCAACGCCGCGUGCGGGAUGACGGCCUUCGGGUUGUAUACCGCUUUCGCCUGUGACGAAGCGUGAGUGACGGUAAUGGGUAUAGAAGCACCGGCUAACUACGUG
RNAcentral lists this ribosomal RNA (468 nucleotides) under uncultured bacterium. RNAcentral describes it as "partial 16S ribosomal RNA". It matches the Rfam family "Bacterial small subunit ribosomal RNA", at positions 28 to 507 of the family's 1533-position model. The record is from RNAcentral.